UCCCAAGGUUGUGAGUUGAGGGGGCUAAGUUUGAACAUCUUCCUGUAUCCCAAACCUCAGGCUAAGCCUCAGACAUAAGGAGACACGUGACCUUUCUGCAGCUUUUUCACCAUUUCCAGUAAGUCUUCGGUCUUCUUUAAAGACUUGGUCUGACCUGUGGAGAUGAAAACCAGAAUUACAGCAUGCCACGAGAGUGAGAGGGGACUGAGGAAAGGUCCAAACUUAUCUGGGAACGGAGGGAAAAAGCCUCAGUGGGUUCUGAGGACACCCCUGGGCUGAGCCAAGGAUAGGCUGGGGGGCAGCUUUCCAGCCAGAGCAGGGUCCAGGCAGGACCCCUGAUGGUGUGUGCCCGAUGAAUCAAGAACUCCUACAGGUCAGUUCUCCCUGAAAGGUCAUGGAACACCACAGUCAUCCCCUUAACGAAAUCCCAAGGUGAGAGAAGGGGAUGUACUUUUGCUGCUGCUGUUCAAAAUCAGAAGUUUUAACCAAUGCACUAGGACAGAACGACAUCAUAUGAAUUUCUUUAAAAUCAUGAUAGGCCACAAUGUGCAAAUUCUUAAAGAACUGAAGGGUCUAGGAAAUGGUUCACUAAUGGCUGCUAACAUCCACACAAGACAACUGGAUAUUCGGUCUCCUGAUGGAAGAACACAACGCAACCUGUGAAGGAUUUUACUCCCUCACCCCAACACCCCAAAAAGGGUGGGGACUCUUAUCAAGUAACCAGGUUUCCAUAUCUAAAUACCAAUUCAGAGGAACCAUACGAGACAGGAAAACAUGUUAAAUGACACCGUGAGAAUGAAAUCAGCAUCCUCCAGACUCCAGGUGACGGCGUGGGACAACUUGGUUUCUUUGACAAAUAAAUUGCAAAGAAGGAAAAGAGAGAGAGAGGAAACUCUACAGAUUAAAAGAGAUUUGAGGCACUUCAGACUAUACCACAAAGCUAGUCAUCAAAAUGGCAUGGUACUGGCACAAAAACAGACAUAUACAUCAGUGGAAGAGCAUACACAGCCCAGACAAAUACACACACUUAUGGUCAAUUAAUCUACAGCAAGGGAGCCAAGAAUAUACAA
Molecule: long non-coding RNA, 1070 nt
Filed under: Sus scrofa (pig)
Lineage: Eukaryota; Metazoa; Chordata; Mammalia; Artiodactyla; Suidae
Description: lncRNA (ENSSSCG00025068207.1)
Source: RNAcentral